AUUGCCCUAGUAACGGCGAGUGAAGCGGCAACAGCUCAAAUUUGAAAUCUGGCCUUCGGGUCCGAGUUGUAAUUUGUAGAGGAUGCUUUUGGUGAGGUGCCUUCCGAGUUCCCUGGAACGGGACGCCAUAGAGGGUGAGAGCCCCGUCUGGUUGGACACCGAUCCUCUGUAAAGCUCCUUCAACGAGUCGAGUAGUUUGGGAAUGCUGCUCUAAAUGGGAGGUAUAUGUCUUCUAAAGCUAAAUAUUGGCCAGAGACCGAUAGCGCACAAGUAGAGUGAUCGAAAGAUGAAAAGCACUUUGAAAAGAGAGUUAAAAAGUACGUGAAAUUGUUGAAAGGGAAGCGCUCAUGACCAGACUUGGGCUUGGUUGAUCAUCCAGGGUUCUCCCUGGUGCACUCUUCCAGUUCAGGCCAGCAUCAGUUCGCUGCGGGGGAUAAAGGCUUUGGGAAUGUGGCUCCUUCGGGAGUGUUAUAGCCCAUUGUGUAAUACCCUGUGGUGGACUGAGGACCGCGCUUUUGCAAGGAUGCUGGCGUAAUGGUCAUCAGUGACCCGUCUUGAAACACGGACCAAGGAGUCGUCUUCGUAUGCGAGUGUUCGGGUGUUAAACCCCUACGCGUAAUGAAAGUGAACGCAGGUGAGAGCUUCGGCGCAUCAUCGACCGAUCCUGAUGUUCUCGGAUGGAUUUGAGUAAGAGCAUACGGGGCCGGACCCGAAAGAAGGUGAACUAUGCCUGUAUAGGGUGAAGCCAGAGGAAACUCUGGUGGAGGCUCGCAGCGGUUCUGACGUGCAAAUCGAUCGUCAAAUAUGGGCAUGGGGGCGAAAGACUAAU
Molecule: ribosomal RNA, 829 nt
Filed under: Dactylonectria pauciseptata
Lineage: Eukaryota; Fungi; Ascomycota; Sordariomycetes; Hypocreales; Nectriaceae
Also listed under: 1 other name
Description: eukaryotic LSU rRNA
Rfam family: Eukaryotic large subunit ribosomal RNA
Source: RNAcentral